AUUGAACGCUGGCGGAAUGCUUUACACAUGCAAGUCGAACGGCAGCACGGGGGCAACCCUGGUGGCGCGUGGCGAACGGGUGAGUAAUACAUCGGAACGUGCCCGGUCGUGGGGGAUAACGUAGCGAAAGUUACGCUAAUACCGCAUACGAUCUGAGGAUGAAAGCGGGGGACCUUCGGGCCUCGCGCGAUCGGAGCGGCCGAUGUCAGAUUAGGUAGUUGGUGGGGUAAAGGCCUACCAAGCCGACGAUCUGUAGCUGGUCUGAGAGGACGACCAGCCACACUGGGACUGAGACACGGCCCAGACUCCUACGGGAGGCAGCAGUGGGGAAUUUUGGACAAUGGGCGCAAGCCUGAUCCAGCCAUUCCGCGUGCAGGACGAAGGCCUUCGGGUUGUAAACUGCUUUUGUAUGGAACGAAAAGGCUCUGGCUAAUACCUGGGGCUCAUGACGGUACCGUAAGAAUAAGCACCGGCUAACUACGUG
Molecule: ribosomal RNA, 484 nt
Filed under: uncultured bacterium
Lineage: Bacteria
Description: partial 16S ribosomal RNA
Rfam family: Bacterial small subunit ribosomal RNA
Source: RNAcentral